GAUUUGGGAGCAGCUGAAUACGCAAAUUCUAGACCUGUAUUAAAAGAGAAAAAAAAUGCUAUUGGAAGAGGUAAGAAAUAACAUUAGUUUGUUCUGGUUUCGGCUUGCUGGCCUGUUCUUUUUAAGGCUUGUAGAAGCAGGACUUCAACUUUAAAAUAUCCUUACUCAAAUUUCAACCGAUAAAACAUAUCAGUGGCAUCAAUUUGAAAAUCUGUGCUACUGAAUUUUAGUACUGACAGAACACACUGAAUUGGGCUCUGCCUUGCAAAGACUAAUGCCGUGAUUAACUCUGCUUUUUUAGAAUAAUACUCCUGUCAAAAAUCAAAUGGGAUUAUUCACGAGAGACAGUCAAAUACAUUCUUAGCAGAGCUUUUCCUCUGACAGCUGAAACACUUGUUUCAAAACAGUCUACUUCAUACUGAAAAUUAAUGUUACCUCAUCUAACAUUUUUCUUGGCAAAGAGAACAUUAUAGACCUGCAAAUGACACAGCUCUUAUGUCUUGCAUAACAAAGGCGUGCUUUAUUUUCACCGUUAUUGCUAUUUGACUUUUGCUAGAAAUGCACUGGUGUUUCUUUUCAAUAGCAGGGCUAACGCUCCAAGCCAGAAAGGUCAAUUUGCCUGUUGCGAGGGAGCAACUUUGUUCUUGUCAGAGAACCAGAACUCUAUUGUCGCUGCCGCAGCGGCAUCCUGCAGCGCCACCCCAGACACCGCUGAUAACCAGCGCCCGCUCCUCCCUUCCAUCCCAAAACACUUCAGAAUGAGCCACCAGCGACCCGCUUGUGAUUCUAGAAGGGAACUGAACUAAACGUUUUUGGUGCCACUGGGCUGGGGGAGCUGCUGUCAAUUUAAACCGUAAGCAGAGCAUGGCUGCAGGGAGACCUGCAAACGGGGAGGGGCAAAAUUACAUUUAUUUCCAAAAUUAAAAAUGUCUUUUUCUUUCUAGCCUUUGCCACUAAUAAAACAGUUCAGGUUUUUCAAGGAGUAUUUAUCUGGCCAAUCUUACUAAAAGGAAGAAAAAAAUAGAGUACUCUCAGGAUACAUUAACUUGCUUCUUAACCUCUUGUUAAGUUAUAGUUGCCACAAGCCUCCAGCGUAUCAGCUGCAUUUUGGUCACCAGGCUUUUGUACGUUCUGUCCAAGUUAAGCUCAAAUAUGUGACAUGGAAGGAUACUCUCCUGUCCAUUUCACAGCUCUACUGGAUGCGAGUGGUCCUGCUGGAAAAAGAUCCUAAGACUAAAAUCAAAAACCAAAAUGGGUGCAACACUAUGCGCUUUUGCAACAAAACAAGGCAUGCUUCUAAACUUGAAUAAUGUUUCCGGCAACCCUAAUAUUUAAUUUAGCACAAGGAAUAUAAAAUCUUUGCCUUCAGAGAUGGUUUUGCCUGCUGGCAGCCAUUGAUAACGAUUUCAUGCUACCUCAAAUGAGCAGUUUGGAAAUGAAACCUUCUAGUUGGUGUUGUCAUGUGAGAUUACAAUGGCCGGUUAAAUGAGGUGGCUUUGAGAGGAUUGACAGAAUAAUACAAAAGAUUAAUGCAAUGUGUGUCAUCUUUUUAAAGGUACCUCGAGUGUAACUAAUGUGGCUUAAUAAGAAUAUGCUUAGUUUUGCAGUAAACAAAAAACAAACAUGUCUCUGCUCUUAUGAUAUACAGUCGCUUUUUGUUCACAAGAAACCCUUCCAAAUCACUAUAGUUUUGUAACCAUUAACACUUCACUUAAUUUAAAUCUGAAUUUCAUAGCACAAUAGAUGCCUUUAUCAAGUUUUAAUAGCAAAUUAGUGAAGUAUACUCCAUUAGGUCUUGAGAAGCCUUCUUAAAGAUAAUAAGAAUUCAGUUUAGAUUAACAUUCAGAAGGCAGGAAAAAAAAAGCUUUGUAAAACAAAACAAAUUAAAGUGUAAUACACAAAGCAAUUAAGUUCUGCAUAGAAUUUCUGGUUCAAAGGAGGAGAAGCAUUUGCAUUUUUCCUAACAUUGACCAACAGUUUUUGAAGUUCUAAAGCUGUUGGCAGAGACUCAGCAAGUGCGGAACAGCAGGGUAUUCACGUAAGAAUCGUGUACUUUGCUUCUCGUGAAGUCCACUAAAGCAGCCGAAAAAAACAAUCCUUGGUUUGGAGUUCAACAGAGAAUGCAUCAAGCCCUUGACCUUUCCACAAGCUGCAGAGAGGUUUGUUAUUUGUUCCUUGCAAACACCUAUAAACUAGAAACGGCGCCUGACAGAGAAACAGGAAUGCGUAACAGGAAAGAAAGGUAUUUGGUUUUGCGUGAACACUUGCAUUGCUGGUAAGUCAUCUGUUUAGCUGAGUAACUCGACUAAGCAAGACUUCCAUUUUCAGAUUUCCAUGUGGUAGAUUUGUGACGGCCACUGUUCCCACGUAAUAAAUGUACCGUGAUCCAGGACAGCGGUGACCGCGCAGAAUCCAUCAUUAAUGAUCGAUAUGAAAGCAGAUUUAAAACACACGAAGACUCAUACCUGCUAUACUUGCAAAUAUUUCACUGAAUCCGAUCAGCACGUAUUGAGGAAUCUGCCACCAUAUCGGCAAAUCUGCGGCAUG
Long non-coding RNA from Columba livia (rock pigeon), 2547 nucleotides. RefSeq lists it as uncharacterized. Lineage: Eukaryota; Metazoa; Chordata; Aves; Columbiformes; Columbidae. The record is from RefSeq and is a predicted model, not a curated record. The transcript is spliced from 2 exons.